GACGAACGCUGGCGGCGUGCCUAAUACAUGCAAGUGGGACGCAAGGGAACACACUGUGCUUGCACACCGUGUUUUCUUGAGUCGCGAACGGGUGAGUAACGCGUAGGUAACCUGCCUAUUAGCGGGGGAUAACUAUUGGAAACGAUAGCUAAUACCGCAUAAUAUUAAUUAUUGCAUGAUAAUUGAUUGAAAGAUGCAAGCGCAUCACUAGUAGAUGGACCUGCGUUGUAUUAGCUAGUUGGUAAGGUAAGAGCUUACCAAGGCGACGAUACAUAGCCGACCUGAGAGGGUGAUCGGCCACACUGGGACUGAGACACGGCCCAGACUCCUACGGGAGGCAGCAGUAGGGAAAUGU
This 355-nucleotide ribosomal RNA is filed under the name Firmicutes bacterium oral taxon C68. Its description in RNAcentral is "bacterial SSU rRNA". It matches the Rfam family "Bacterial small subunit ribosomal RNA", at positions 28 to 365 of the family's 1533-position model. Lineage: Bacteria; Bacillati; Bacillota. The record is from RNAcentral.